ACUAUAGAGGGAGAGUUUAGUUUGACACGAUAAGGCGUACUAGUAGUACAGGACAAACAUAUUUUUUGUGAUGGGCAACCGAAGAGACGCUCUCAAGCAUAGCAAGGCCGUCAGUAGUAGUACUGAAAGUAAUAGCCCAACCAAGUCCAAAGAGGAAAAGAAACCGACCGACGGUGAGGCAGACAAGACCGAAGGCGAAGGCGGGUUAACUGCAUGGCUGUCAAGCAGUGAAGGAGUUGGCUGGAUGCAGUUUUUCGUCGUGACCAACGCCAUCAUCUUACUCUUGACCACUGGCCUACCUCGGAUUUGGGAGACACUUGAUUUUAUGACCUCCAGCUCAUCUUCCGACUAAGAAAAACGUUUCUCGUAAAAAUACCAACCAUUCAAUAACGAAGAAGAAAAAAUAAGGAUGGCUGAAUCGGGUCUGUGGAUAAAAUGCACGGUGGUCGUGGUCAUCUUGGGUUACAUUUCUAUUCAAUUCAUGCGCUACAUGGACGAUUGGUACCGGCAAGAGUUUCGCCGUUACUUGGAAACCGAACAGAAACGGAAUCCUCAUCUUAUCAAGCCUUGAUGAGGAUGACAACCUAUUUUUCUUCUUCUUCCCCCCAUUCUUUCUGUAACAAACUCAAUAACAAUAUUUUCAUUUUGAUGUGGUAAAAACAAAAAAAAAAUUGUUUUGUGUGUACCGUCUAUGGUAGAACAGAGCGUGACGUCUUGUGGUUGAGUCAUUGUAUUUGUUUCGGUACUUAAAAAAUUGUUAACGACCGUGUAACCAUCGAUGCGACCUAUUAUCUACACCUUUGACGCUCGGCAGACUCUUUUGACUGAAUAAACACAUUUAGUGACGGCCGACCUUGAA
Long non-coding RNA from Daphnia pulicaria, 859 nucleotides. RefSeq lists it as uncharacterized. The transcript has 4 exons. Lineage: Eukaryota; Metazoa; Arthropoda; Branchiopoda; Diplostraca; Daphniidae. The record is from RefSeq and is a predicted model, not a curated record.